GAUCCUGCCAGUAGUCAUAUGCUUGUCUCAAAGAUUAAGCCAUGCAUGUCUAAGUCCAAGCUGUGUUUACACGGCGAGACCGCGGACGGCUCAUUAAAUCAGUCGUGGUCCAAAUGGGAUAGUCCAAUGUACUUGGAUAACUGUGGUAAUUCCAGAGCUAAUACAUGCAACUGAAACCUUGAUGGAAGCCCUUCUCUUGGUCGCUUGUCGUCCGGGGGUUGGAUCCUUGCUGACAGGUGCUUUUAUUAGACCAAUCCGCUGGUGGCUGAGUUGUUCUGCUGAGACGCGUGCACGGAUCUCGGCACUCGGCUAUGUCGUGUUGUCGACCCGCGAGGCGUGUUCUCGGGAGCUCUCGGUCAGACUUGCUUUGUGGUGACUCUGGAUAACCAUUUUUGACAAGCGCACGUACCCCUCUCACGAGCGGGACGGCGCUGCCACUUUCGAGUGUCUGCCUUAUCAGCUGUCAAUCGCUCGCUACACGCGACCGAUGGCUUUGACGGGUAACGGGGAAUCAGGGUUCGAUUCCGGAGAGGCAGCCUGAGAGACGGCUACCACGUCCAAGGACGGCAGCAGGCACGCAAAUUACCCAAUCCCAGCACAUGGGGGAGGUAGUGACGAAAUCUAACGAUGCGGGCGCCCUUCCAGGGCCCCGCAAUCGGAAUGAGCACUUUCUAAACAACCUGUUGAGAACCUACUGAAGGGCAAGUCUGGUGCCAGCAGCCGCG
This 725-nucleotide ribosomal RNA is filed under the name Ampithoe valida. RNAcentral describes it as "bacterial SSU rRNA". It matches the Rfam family "Eukaryotic small subunit ribosomal RNA", at positions 10 to 578 of the family's 1831-position model. Lineage: Eukaryota; Metazoa; Arthropoda; Malacostraca; Amphipoda; Ampithoidae. The record is from RNAcentral.